Rhea pennata is the source of this 2050-nucleotide long non-coding RNA. RefSeq lists it as uncharacterized. Lineage: Eukaryota; Metazoa; Chordata; Aves; Rheiformes; Rheidae. The record is from RefSeq and is a predicted model, not a curated record. The transcript has 4 exons.
CUCAUCUAUCUGGACAAGAGGACUCACUGCCUUGGAAUUAAAUCUGGGAAACGCUUUUGGAAAAAAACAUGAGGAUGUGUUGGAUGAGGAUAGUGUUGUCCCUCUGGCCUGGCAGGUUCAUAUGUUACAUCUGAAUGGAGUCCAAGGUAUUUAAUCCUCUCUGUGGGCCCACGACAAAGAGAGAUGCUUUUCACGGCCUGGAACCAGUCAGCGAUAGCUUCGCAUCCAGGAACAGCCUGAAAGUUUGGGGGACCCAGCUGAAGGAUUCGACAGAAUCGAUGAGGAACAGGAAAAAAGAAGAGAGUGAAAAUCUCAGAAGCCACUAAGAUUUCACACAAAUUGCAGAGCUGCCCAGUUUUCGCAUAUAGCUGCCAGUCCCAAGGUCUGCCCUAAAAUCCCAGUUCACUGAGGCUCGGGAAGUCUCCAGUCCUUCUGGUUUCACAAGAAAGCUUGAACACGAACCCCCUAAAAACCACAGGAAUGAGUGAGGAGAAGGCAAAACUGAUUUUUCUUUUAAAAAUGGGCCUUUUUACUGUAACAGCAGGAUUUUCCCGAGGCUUGACUCAUCUUCUUGUAAGGGCUAGGGGCUGAAGCAUGGCUUCCCAAGGGACGGUGGCAAGGCUGGGGACGAGGUAUCCAGCGUGGGCAGCAGGCGGCCGGUGUGGGAGGGGAAAACUUGUUUCCAUUUCCUUGAGGCAGAGCUCAGCUUUCACAUGUAUCGAAAACACUCAAUUAGGCACAUGCUUCUUUCCAAAGGCCAAGCCCUAGCUUCGGUGGAUGCGUGCUCACUGUGUGGGUUUUUUUCCCUCUUUGCCUGCUGGCCUAAAAGCUGAUGAUUUUUGGAAAUGGAAGUUAUUUGUUUAACUGAGGAGGCAGCCCUGCAGCUAAUUCCUACUUGCCUGGACCCUUUACCUAAAUUCUCCCUUUUGCCAUGCCUCUCUAGCUCGUUAGCUCUGGGCUGGGAUUUACUCUGUCACCUAGCUCUGGAUUUUAUUGUUUUCAUUUCUGUCCUCCUUGGCGCUGGAGGGACCCACGCCAUGACUAAACUUUUCUGGCUUCAGUGCCAGCACAAUCAUGUGAGAGGUUCAGAGGCUAAGGAAAAAUGCUGAAGAAUCAUAUCUGAAAAAGGAGAUCUCCAGCUUUUUGCACAUCAGGCUGCAGAGGAGAGCGGGCAAAUUUAGGUGAAAUUCACACAAAGGCAAGCCAAAAAAAUGUCCAGCACCUUCCAGUGCAGUUCAGAAGUAGCAGUGCAACAUUCAGGGCCAAACUGCUAAAACAAAAAAGAGAUUUGCACUGCGAUGUCUGCAAAAUCUGGAUUGAAUAUUUAAUCUAUAGGGAACCCCUUAGACUGAUGCAUCUCUGAGCACUCAAAAGCUCAUUUCCAUGUUUACCUGCCCAUCAGUGCAGGGGAGAAUACCUGCACCGACGCUGCGCUGCACUGCACUGCAAAGAACGCUGCACCAGACACUGCAGAAUUGCUGCUCAUUAGUAGCUUUUGAGAGUGCCAGAUAGGGCAUCUUGCUAAGGAGAAAAAUGAAACUACCCCCCAUGACCAGCUCACAGGCUGCCAGACCUGCAGAAUGGGGUGGCUCCUUUCCGAUGGCAGUGACACCUGCCCUUUGCAAGCCUUUCUGUUGUGCUGCUGCAGAACCCUCUGCUCUAACCCACCAGCCUCCUGGGGCACACGGGCAAGCAGCUUCAGCUGAAAGCAAAGCUCUAAACUCAGCUUCUGCCGAAAGGUCUGGGCCCUUCGUGUGGCAGCACCCCAUGAAAUACAGAUGUAAGGCUUCCUUUUUGAGGCAGCAAUGGGCAGGCUCUGCAGGGCGGCCUGGGCUCAGCAAAAUGCCUGUUGUUUCUAAGUUGCCUAGAUGGGCUGCGUGUUAGCUCUGAACUUCCUGCUGAGCUCUGCAAGCUGUAUCCAAAAGUCUCUGUCUAGUCCAGAAACUUCCAGCUGCUUUCUAAGACAUCGCAAGCUUGGGAGGCCUAAGCAGCUUCCUCAGAACUAAGAUAAGAUUGCUAUUGAUAGUGCAAUAAUGGAAAUAAAAAAAAC